RNAcentral lists this ribosomal RNA (648 nucleotides) under Saccharopolyspora sp. EGI 80160. RNAcentral's name for it is "bacterial SSU rRNA". It matches the Rfam family "Bacterial small subunit ribosomal RNA", at positions 150 to 809 of the family's 1533-position model. Lineage: Bacteria; Bacillati; Actinomycetota; Actinomycetes; Pseudonocardiales; Pseudonocardiaceae. The record is from RNAcentral.
CGGGAAACUGGGUCUAAUACCGGAUAGGACACAUGGCCGCAUGGUCUGUGUGUGGAAAGUUCCGGCGGUGCAGGAUGAGCCCGCGGCCUAUCAGCUUGUUGGUGGGGUGAUGGCCUACCAAGGCGACGACGGGUAGCCGGCCUGAGAGGGUGACCGGCCACACUGGGACUGAGACACGGCCCAGACUCCUACGGGAGGCAGCAGUGGGGAAUCUUGCGCAAUGGGCGAAAGCCUGACGCAGCAACGCCGCGUGGGGGAUGACGGCCUUCGGGUUGUAAACCUCUUUCGACAUCGACGAAGCCUUCGGGUGACGGUAGGUGUAGAAGAAGCACCGGCUAACUACGUGCCAGCAGCCGCGGUAAUACGUAGGGUGCGAGCGUUGUCCGGAUUUAUUGGGCGUAAAGAGCUCGUAGGCGGUUUGUCGCGUCGUUCGUGAAAACUGGAGGCUUAACCUUCAGCUUGCGGUCGAUACGGGCAGACUUGAGUUCGGUAGGGGAGACUGGAAUUCCUGGUGUAGCGGUGAAAUGCGCAGAUAUCAGGAGGAACACCGGUGGCGAAGGCGGGUCUCUGGGCCGAUACUGACGCUGAGGAGCGAAAGCGUGGGGAGCGAACAGGAUUAGAUACCCUGGUAGUCCACGCCGUAAACGU